Molecule: small RNA, 126 nt
Filed under: Arabidopsis thaliana (thale cress)
Lineage: Eukaryota; Viridiplantae; Streptophyta; Magnoliopsida; Brassicales; Brassicaceae
Description: ATSL246030
Source: RNAcentral
AAGAAGGAAAAAAAACAUGUUUUCUUUAAUAUAACUUUUAGGGAGAAAACAAAACUCUACGAUUGUGAACUUAAGGAGAAAACAAAUUGGAACAGUUUGUGUUUUGUUUUGUGUUUUGUUGGAUUC